AUUGAACGCUGGCGGCAUGCCUUACACAUGCAAGUCGAACGGCAGCGGGCCUUCGGGUGCCGGCGAGUGGCGAACGGGUGAGUAAUGCAUCGGAACGUGCCAUUGAGUGGGGGAUAACGUAGCGAAAGUUACGCUAAUACCGCAUAUUCUGUGAGCAGGAAAGCAGGGGACCGCAAGGCCUUGCGCUCUUUGAGCGGCCGAUGUCAGAUUAGCUAGUUGGUGAGGUAAAGGCUUACCAAGGCGACGAUCUGUAGCGGGUCUGAGAGGAUGAUCCGCCACACUGGAACUGAGACACGGUCCAGACUCCUACGGGAGGCAGCAGUGGGGAAUAUUGCGCAAUGGGCGAAAGCCUGACGCAGCCACGCCGCGUGAGCGAUGAAGGCCUUCGGGUCGUAAAGCUCUGUGGGGAGAGACGAAGAAAGCCCGUGAAGAGCGGGCCUUGACGGUAUCUCCUUAGCAAGCACCGGCUAACUCCGUGCCAGCA
Molecule: ribosomal RNA, 484 nt
Filed under: uncultured bacterium
Lineage: Bacteria
Description: bacterial SSU rRNA
Rfam family: Bacterial small subunit ribosomal RNA
Source: RNAcentral